AUGUUCUAUCGACCUUGCUGUCGGAAGAGAGAAAUGGCAGAAUGACAUCCCCCAUUUGGCCCGCUGGAAAUGCCCACCAUCUUUUGGGAAGAUUUACUGGCUGUUUAUAGAAUGCCUGCCUAUAUAAUAUGAAAAAGCUGCUCUCAACUUCUCCCCCAAAACCUUUUAAAAGAAAACAUUUGCCACAUCCAGCCCUUCUAGAGUAAAGAGGUUGCCAACGUAUGAAGUAGAGUUAGAAAAUCACACACCUUGCAAAUUCUCAUUAGUUUAAAAAGAAGUCAUAGAAAAUGUCUUCUGGAGUUGACUUUUUGAAAUGGAGUUAUUAGACCACUUCUGGAAGCAACACGUCCACGUUUGUUCAAUGGGCUAGAGGACAUGGAGCAGAAGACCUGAGAAGGAAAAGAAGUUAGAAGACUACAUGUUGAAAGUUUGCUUUGAGCUUGGUUCUUCUUGAACAUGCAGCUUCAAAUCAAUGUCUGUCUGCUCAUAAGUUCAACCAAACCAGGACUGCCACUGGCUGCUAAAGGGAAGAAAAGGCUCCAUGAAGAAUUCCAGCGUACCUCCUGCCCUGGCAGCCAUUCUGCUGUUUCUAUGGAAACAUUCACCAGAUAGCAGCAUGCUAUACUGUGCAAGUGAAGAAGAAGGCAUCUUCCUUUCAUCACCACAUCUAGAGUGUGACCACUUCACAGAAUGAAAGAAUGUGGUGAACACAGUUCUUUAUUCUGACAGAUAAAUCGUUCAAGAGAAAGAGAAAAGAGCCUUGGGAAAAGGUUGAAUUGGCACAUGGUCUCAGCAUGAAGCCUAGGGGCCAGAUGCCAGUGACAUUUUCUUGGACUUCCCAGCCUUUAGAACCAUGAUCCAAAUAAACUUGUAUUGUUUAUAAA
Molecule: long non-coding RNA, 884 nt
Filed under: Homo sapiens (human)
Lineage: Eukaryota; Metazoa; Chordata; Mammalia; Primates; Hominidae
Description: HSALNT0303864
Source: RNAcentral